This 244-nucleotide ribosomal RNA is filed under the name uncultured anaerobic ammonium-oxidizing bacterium. Its description in RNAcentral is "partial 16S ribosomal RNA". It matches the Rfam family "Bacterial small subunit ribosomal RNA", at positions 439 to 674 of the family's 1533-position model. The record is from RNAcentral.
GGAGUUAGGAAAUGCAGGUUGGUUAAUACCCAACCUGUUUGACAAAGGCCCCAAAGGAAGCCACGGCUAACUCUGUGCCAGCAGCCGCGGUAAUACAGAGGUGGCAAGCGUUGUUCGGUAUUAUUGGGCGUAAAGAGCACGUAGGUGGUUUUGUAAGUCAGAUGUGAAAGCCUUCUGUUCAAAGGAAGAACGGCAUCUGAAACUGCAGAUCUUGAGUGUAGGAGGGGAGAGUGGAACUUCUGGU